CACAGCGGCCAUAGCGGCGGGGAAACUCCCGGUCCCAUUCCGAACCCGGAAGAUAAGCUCGCCAGCGUUCCUUACUGUACUGAGUUGCGAGAGCACUUGGGAACUCUGGAUCGCUGCUAUGC
RNAcentral lists this ribosomal RNA (122 nucleotides) under Candidatus Methanophagales archaeon. Lineage: Archaea; Methanobacteriati; Methanobacteriota; Methanomicrobia; Candidatus Methanophagales. The record is from RNAcentral.